AGCCCAACUGGGAGGCAGACAUGCAAAGGCUGUCUACCUGGUCUCCCAGACCAGAACCACACCGGUGGGGGGCUGGGGGUUGGCAGAGGUCUCUGGGGUCGGCACCCCCAGGCACACUCUUCCUGCUGACUGCGAGGAAGGCUCUCUCAUCACAGUUGUCGGAGCCUGAGCAGCCUCCCUGGACGUCCAGUGGAAGAUCUCCACUUGGCAGACCAGGAAAUGAAGACCACAGAGGCUGGGUAACUCUUCCAAGGUCACCGAGGAGAAGCGGGCAGAACUUGGAUUUGGCCCCAGGUCUGCUGAACUCCGAAUGUCUGUGCCUCGUGUGGGGAACUAGCCUGUGUGUUCCCUGUGGGAGGCUGACCCGGUGAUUCCCUGCCCUUCUCGCUGCUCGGAUCACCCAACACGGCCACCAGCCAUGAAUCCUGCAAGAGUCUCAGACGGGUGUCCCCACUCCAACACCUGCCCUGGAAAAGACGGGCGAGCUGUCUACUUGAUGAAUUCCCACCCUGGACCCACCGUGGAGAUGUGCCUAGACCCUGCUCUCCAACACCCCUCCCCCGCCCCACCCCACAUCUCGGGAGCUCGGUCAAGAGACCAGCAGAGGCAGCGACAAAACCAGUGUUGGCGCAGGCCGGUCCCGACCCCCUUCUCUAAGCAGCAGAUCUGAUGGUGCUGUGGGGAGGAAAAAGGCGGGUCCUAGCCCAGGCGGCUCACCCCACAUGGGUACCGUUUGUCCAAGCUCUCGUCCCCUGUCCCCUUUGUCUGGGCUCCCCACAGCCGCUGCAGAGGCUGCCCUCCUCUCCCGACACCCUGUGUGAGGCCUGUGUGUGGCUGGGUCCCUCCGUCUGAGAGGUGUGAGUACACCCCUGAGCCUCCCACCGAGGGGAGCGGUGGGGCAGGACUCUGACGGGUGAAGGCGGCUGCGGACCCCUCCCGCAUCUUGUUCCUGCUGACUCACAAUGCCCAAGGUUGCUUUGCGAGCGCCCAUGCCACCCUGGGAAACCCAACCUCCCAGGGGCACCAGACAGGGCCCUGGCCAACAGCUUGGCGACCAACCGGCUGAAAGCACGCGGGACUAGGUAGGAGGUGGGACUUUGAGAGAGCAUCCAGUGAGAAGGCAGGAACCAGAAGGUUGUCACUGCCAUUAGAUAAUAAAAAGGAUGAGACUUGGGGCACCAGGUGGCUCAGUCAGUUAAGGGUCUGCCUUUGGCUCAGGUCAUGAUCUCGGAGUUCUGGAAUCAAGCCCUGCAUCGGGCUCCCUGCUCCGCAGCGAGUCUGCUUCUCCCUCUGCCUCUGCCCAGGCACACCCCCCCCAUCGCCACUCAUGCUCUCCCUCUCAAAU
Molecule: long non-coding RNA, 1345 nt
Organism: Mustela lutreola (European mink)
Lineage: Eukaryota; Metazoa; Chordata; Mammalia; Carnivora; Mustelidae
Exons: 3
Source: RefSeq, a predicted model, not a curated record